Molecule: small nuclear RNA, 106 nt
Organism: Phodopus roborovskii (desert hamster)
Lineage: Eukaryota; Metazoa; Chordata; Mammalia; Rodentia; Cricetidae
Source: RefSeq, a predicted model, not a curated record
GUGCUCACUUCAGCAGCACAUAUACUAUAUUGGAAGGACACAAAGAAGAUUAGCAUAGCCCUUGUGAAAGGAUGACAUGCAAAUUCAUGAAGUGUCCUAUAUAUUU